UACGAAGGGGGCUAGCGUUGCUCGGAAUCACUGGGCGUAAAGGGUGCGUAGGCGGGUCGUUAAGUCAGGGGUGAAAUCCCGGAGCUCAACUCCGGAACUGCCUUUGAUACUGGCGAUCUUGAGAUCGGAAGAGGUGAGUGGAAUUCCCAGUGUAGAGGUGAAAUUCGUAGAUAUUGGGAAGAACACCAGUGGCGAAGGCGGCUCACUGGUCCGAUACUGACGCUGAGGUGCGAAAGCGUGGGGAGCAAACAGG
RNAcentral lists this ribosomal RNA (253 nucleotides) under uncultured bacterium. RNAcentral's name for it is "partial 16S ribosomal RNA". It matches the Rfam family "Bacterial small subunit ribosomal RNA", at positions 524 to 776 of the family's 1533-position model. The record is from RNAcentral.